GACGAACGCUGGCGGCGUGCUUAACACAUGCAAGUGGAGCGACGAACCAGGCUUCGGCCUGGGGCAAAGCCGCGAACGGGUGAGUAACACGUGGGUAACCUGCCCCGAUGAUCGGGACAACCCGGGGAACCCGGGCUAAUACCGGAUGUGCUCCCGCCACACCAGUGGCGGGUGGAAAGGAAGCUUCGGCCUCCGCAUCGGGAGGGGCCCGCGGCCCAUUAGCUUGUUGGUGGGGUAACGGCCUACCAAGGCAACGAUGGGUAGCUGGUCUGAGAGGACGAUCAGCCACACUGGGACUGAGACACGGCCCAGACUCCUACGGGAGGCAGCAGGUGGGGAAUCUUGCGCAAUGCGCG
RNAcentral lists this ribosomal RNA (356 nucleotides) under uncultured bacterium. Its description in RNAcentral is "bacterial SSU rRNA". It matches the Rfam family "Bacterial small subunit ribosomal RNA", at positions 28 to 377 of the family's 1533-position model. The record is from RNAcentral.